UACGUAGGGUGCGAGCGUUGUCCGGAAUUACUGGGCGUAAAGAGCUCGUAGGUGGUUUGUCGCGUUGUCCGUGAAAACUCACAGCUUAACUGUGGGCGUGCGGGCGAUACGGGCAGACUGGAGUACUGCAGGGGAGACUGGAAUUCCUGGUGUAGCGGUGGAAUGCGCAGAUAUCAGGAAGAACACCCGUGGCGAAGGCGGCUCUCUGGGACGGUACUGACGCUGAGACGCGAAAGCGUGGGGAGCGAACAGG
RNAcentral lists this ribosomal RNA (253 nucleotides) under uncultured bacterium. RNAcentral describes it as "partial 16S ribosomal RNA". It matches the Rfam family "Bacterial small subunit ribosomal RNA", at positions 524 to 776 of the family's 1533-position model. The record is from RNAcentral.